Molecule: transfer RNA, 74 nt
Filed under: Candidatus Woesearchaeota archaeon
Lineage: Archaea; Nanobdellati; Candidatus Woesearchaeota
Description: tRNA-Lys
Rfam family: tRNA
About the family: Transfer RNA (tRNA) molecules are approximately 80 nucleotides in length.
Source: RNAcentral
GGGCCGUUAGCUCAGUCUGGUAGAGCUCCAGGCUUUUAACCUGGGAGUCAUGGGUUCAAAUCCUGUACGGCCCG